Molecule: long non-coding RNA, 512 nt
Filed under: Oncorhynchus mykiss (rainbow trout)
Lineage: Eukaryota; Metazoa; Chordata; Actinopteri; Salmoniformes; Salmonidae
Description: lncRNA (ENSOMYG00000049794.1)
Source: RNAcentral
AGACAGAUAGACAGAGAUACAGGUCAGAAGGUCGUUCCAGACCCUGUCUACUCAGCAGUGAAGACAGAUAGACAGAGAUACAGGUCAGAAGGUCGUUCCAGACCCUGUCUACUCAGCGGUGAAGACAGACAGAGAUACAGACAGAGAGAGAUAAAGACAGACAGAGAUACAGGUCAAAAGGUCGUUCCAGACCCUGUCUACUCAGCGGUGAAGACAGAUAGACAUAGAUACAGGUCAGAAGGUCGUUCCAGCAUAAAAAAGAACUAGCUCACUUUUUGUUCAGAUUUACAAAUGAAGCACCGUGUAUAGUGUAGAUAAUCAUUAUUAUAAUAAUAGAUAAUAGAUCUUCAAAAACCAAACUUAGGAACGGGAAGCAUAGAAAUAUCUCACAAAGAACAGAUCUACCGCUACUUAGAUUGGCUUUACAGCAAUUUGACAGAUCAAUAACACAAUUCUAUGUGGAUUAGUUGGGUUACUCAAAAAGGUAGAUAUUGCCAUUUUAACAAAUUAAA